Molecule: non-coding RNA, 1789 nt
Filed under: Pongo abelii (Sumatran orangutan)
Lineage: Eukaryota; Metazoa; Chordata; Mammalia; Primates; Hominidae
Source: RNAcentral
AUACACAGAGAACCACGUGGAGGAAAAGCACGCGAGUUUGGAGGGGGUGGAGCAGGAACAGAGGUGGACUGGAAUGUCACACGACGGGGCAGCUGGAAGGGCACCACUGAGUUCAGUACUUCAAAAUUGCUGUGCUCUACCUUUCCCCAGUGCACAGAAACACUCUCCACACCAAGCUGCUGCUGCUGGGGGAUGGAGGGAUGGCGUCAGCGAUUCAAGACUGUUUUUCCUACCUGUUCAGCGCUUCUUUCAGCGAUAUGAAGUUAAAUCCAGAGGCUAAGGAUGGAGGAUUGCUUGAGUUCGAGACCAGCCUGGGCAACAUAGUGAGACCCUAUCUCUACACGCACAAAAAGCCAGAUGUGGUGUCGUGUGCCUCUAGCCCCAGAAAGUGUGACUCAUAAGACUGGAAACUCCUGAACGUAGCAAGGAUGUUUGCAGCCAAGCCAACUGACUACAAACAUGAUAAAGUCCAUUACAAGGAUGGAAAAUCCACAGAACAGAAAAUGUGUCUAUUUUUUCACCAGUGACCCUCCAGCACUCAGCUAUGCCUGGAACAAGGUCCAGGUUGGCCAAUCCCCCUGACACAGCCGAGCCCACAUGGCACUCCACAGGCCCUGUGUGUGAGGUCCCCAGGCAGGAGCUGAGAAGAGAGGUCUGGAGGGAGAAGGGACUUGGAACCCUGCAUUGGGAACCUUCUGGCAGCAGGACAGGCCAUUCCUGCAAGGCAGAGUGAGGUGGCUCCACAGGUGUGGACCAGCACGUGUUUCCACGCAGACACGACAAUAUCCUAGGAGGGGGCUGCUGACACUGAUUGCCAUCUGCGUGCCGGGUCUGGUGUAAAAGACACUGCAUGACAACCAGCCCUUUCCACACCAUGCACACGUGAAGAUGGUGCCAAUGAACCCCAGGAAUUCUGCCCAGGAAGCACUGAGAGCCCAGAAGAGAUGACAGGCACAUUCAGUGGGCCUGGGCGAGCCAGGGAAGCUUCUCGAUGGAGGCAGUUCUGAACGGAGUCUGGAGGAAAAAAAAAGGACAGGCACCAUCAGAUGAGAAACAGAGGGCCUGGGGCAAAGGGAUGAGUGGUCUAGGAUGGCUCCAGGAAAAAUCUUGCUGCUCUGGGAAGAUGCCCUGCUGCUCCUUCUGCUCUGCUCUGUGGUGAUUGAUGGCUGUGGGUUCCCGCUGUCCAUAUUUUACCAUAGCAAGAGAAGAAAAGGGAGCGAUGGAUCACCUGGCCACUGCCCUUACCAUUACUUAAGGAGCAGCAUGCGGUGAAGAGAGAAGAAAGAGGACCUUUACCAGAGUCAGCAGGAGCUCCACCUCCACUCCCCUCAACUCAUGGUCUAGACGAAUGAUUGAGUGAGGUGAGGGAGUAGAGGAGAGGGCAUGGAGAGGGGCGGAGAGGCAUGAAAGACACCGAAGGACAAAGGGAAGGGGCAAGAAACAGGGGCAGAAAGAAGCCAUGGGUGAGGAGAAAGCAAAAGGGAGGCAUCCCCUUCUGACCAUGAAGGGUUAACCGCUGUAGAAAUUGCCCAUCUACCUAUCACUUUGGGAGGCCAAGGCGAGCAAUCACCUGAGGUCAGGAGUUCGAGACCAGCCCAGCCAACAUGGCGAAACCCUGUCUCUACUAAAAAUACAAAAAUUAGCCAGGUGUGGUAGUGCUUGCCUGUGAUUCCAGCUACCUGGGAGGCUGAGGCAGAAGGAUCGCAUGAACCCGAGAGGCAGAGGUUGCAGUGAGCUGAGAUUGAGCCACUGUACUCCAGCCUGGGUGACAAGAGUGAGAUUCUGGCUC